GAUGAACGCUGGCGGCGUGCUUAACACAUGCAAGUCGAACGGAAAGGCCCAAGCUUGCUUGGGUACUCGAGUGGCGAACGGGUGAGUAACACGUGGGUGAUCUGCCCUGCACUUCGGGAUAAGCCUGGGAAACUGGGUCUAAUACCGGAUAGGACGAUGGUUUGGAUGCCAUUGUGGAAAGUUUUUUCGAUGUGGGAUGAGCUCGCGGCCUAUCAGCUUGUUGGUGGGGUAAUGGCCUACCAAGGCGUCGACGGGUAGCCGGCCUGAGAGGGUGUACGGCCACAUUGGGACUGAGAUACGGCCCAGACUCCUACGGGAGGCAGCAAUGGGGAAUAUUGCACAAUGGGCGCAAGCCUGAUGCAGCGACGCCGCGUGGGGGAUGACGGCCUUCGGGUUGUAAACUCCUUUCGCUAGGGACGAAGCGUUUUUGUGACGGUACCUGGAGAAGAAGCACCGGCUAACUACGUG
This 468-nucleotide ribosomal RNA is filed under the name uncultured bacterium. Its description in RNAcentral is "partial 16S ribosomal RNA". It matches the Rfam family "Bacterial small subunit ribosomal RNA", at positions 28 to 507 of the family's 1533-position model. The record is from RNAcentral.